RNAcentral lists this ribosomal RNA (272 nucleotides) under uncultured microorganism. Its description in RNAcentral is "partial 16S ribosomal RNA". It matches the Rfam family "Bacterial small subunit ribosomal RNA", at positions 9 to 283 of the family's 1533-position model. The record is from RNAcentral.
GAGUUUGAUCUUGGCUCAGAUUGAACGCUGGCGGCAUGCCUUACACAUGCAAGUCGAACGGUAACAGGUCUUCGGAUGCUGACGAGUGGCGAACGGGUGAGUAAUACAUCGGAACGUGCCCAGACGGUGGGGGAUAACGAGGCGAAAGCUUUGCUAAUACCGCAUACGAUCUAAGGGAUGAAAGCAGGGGACCGCAAGGCCUUGCGCGUUUGGAGCGGCCGAUGGCAGAUUAGGUAGUUGGUGGGAUAAAAGCUUACCAAGCCGACGAUCUG